Molecule: small nucleolar RNA, 89 nt
Filed under: Marmota monax (woodchuck)
Lineage: Eukaryota; Metazoa; Chordata; Mammalia; Rodentia; Sciuridae
Source: RNAcentral
AAUUUCAAAUAAUGAUUUACUGGAUUUUGACCACUCCUUGAGGAUAAAGUGCCCCCCCAAGACCUUUGACACCUGGGGGUCUAAGGGUU